UGCCUCUCCAAAAUGGACAAAAUGUGAGAAUAAGUCCAAAUCCAAACUCACAAAACCCAGGAAAGUGGACACCAGGUAUUGUCGUAGAAAAACACGACAAGCCCAGAUCUUUCGUAGUGCAGAGUGGAAACCGCCUGUACCGACAUAACCGAAAACACCUACGACUAGCUACUGAAGGUGCAAACAACACGGCACAGUGGUCCAGACCAGACGACACACCAACGCAGACAACUGCGGAAACGCCAUCUUCUGCUCCGAACAGCCCAGCGCCAAAUCCCAAAGUGCCAGACAAACCAACGUGUACUAGUGAAUACCGUACCCGCUCUGGCAGAUCAGUGAACAAACCUCAAAAGCUUGAUUUAUAGGCAAUGACAUUGACAUUUCAACAGCAUUGUGUCAUUAAUGUGCCAGUCAGGUAUAAUAAUUACAUCCUGUUAGAUCACACAAGUGUCAUAGUGUUAAGGGGCAGAAUAAUCCCCAGUGUGACACAAAGUUAGAUUUACAUAUGUUUAAUUACUUUAAGACAAAAACUUAUUACAGAUCAUUUGAGACAUUUGGUAAAAAGAGUUGCUUCCCUUAGACUAGCAUAUCAUCAUACAUCUACAGUGAAAUCAAAUCGACAAUGCUUGCAAAGCAAAAGUUGAACAUUCACAUGUGUGUAUCAUUUAGGAAACUUGAGACACUUACUAGCUUUAGUUAAAGAAACCUAAAUAUAAAAUUGCAUCUAGUCAGUUAACUUAGUCAAAUUCAAUUAUAUAUGUCAUACCAUCUAGUCAUACUUAAUAAUGUUUAUAGCCAGUUUCUACAUUUCUUAUUUUGUAAAGAAAGAGGGAUGUAACGUUAUUGGCUAUUUAUAACUUGUUAAUGUGCUAAACGGCACACACUGUAUUUUUGUAUUAUCAACGUUGUAAGCAUCUGUGACGUAAUAAAAGAUGAAGGCUCACUACCAUUGAUAUCGUUACAGUGACUACUUACAAUAGAGUUUUCAAACGAAUUUAGUUUGUUCUUUAUUUUGGAGUCCUACACACGCUGUCACAGAACAAAACAAGGACUAUGAAUGCGACUGACUCUAACGUCUAUGUGUAUAAUGAAUUCCGUCAAUGAAGCCUUUGAAAAAAAGAGGGCCAUACCCCAGUCUUUGCCUGUGGGAAUGUGGUGUAUCACAGGAGGUCAGAUGGCAUUCCAUGAUGGAAUAACAAGGCUUACCAAAUUCAGCAGGUCAAAAGUGCUCUCCAUCCACAGACAGUAUAUGGCAGACUAGGAACAAGAAAUGCCAUUACAUGUAAUAGCGGUUUGGUUGUGCAUGAACAGCAAAUGCAUCCGGUGCUGGUUUGUUAACAUGCAGGGGCUGCCACUGUCUUCCUUUAGGAUAACAAGGAUGUCAGUUUCCAGCAAAAUAAUCCAGGAAGAACCCCAGGUCUUACUGUUCAAGACGCAAUGAGGUUGUGACCAUCAGGCUCAAAGCUGUGGAGAAAGAUGUCUGGCCGGGAGACAUACUGAUGUUAUGCUUUACUGAUGUUGUUGCCAACACCUACAAACCAUUCACUACAACUACCACAACGAACAAUGUACUGAUAAUGCAGAAAAUCUGAGCUACCUUUGUGAAAGAGGCCAAGAGAGGAUUGGAUGGUGGAGUUUCAGAUGACACAAUGCUGACUGUUUCCACCCAGCUGAUUUUGCUUUCUACAGGCAACAGAAGGAAGUCUUCACUUUUAUUUUAAACAAUUCAGUUUUAAUGCCACCAAUUUGUCAAGAUAACAUGUAACUGAACAGAUUGAAAUUACACCAACAUCCUUCAUUAACACAAACUAUCUGUGUACCUGGACCAUCAGCUUGAACAGUAUACUACUUCAACUACCAUUUCUUCAUAUUCAAACAUUACUAGAAAGGUCUGAAAGGCAAUCAUACUAAAUGAAGAAUGAUAAACUCCUGUGUUAUAAAUUCUGUUGCAACUUGAGAUGACCAGUAUGUACAGACAGUGCCAAAUUUAUUGCAUUUAUUACUUGUGUCUUAUCUGACAGUGCUCUAUGCAUAGAUAUUGUACUUGAAGUUAACUAUGAUUUUAUUAAGAUGCGAUUUUUCACUCUGUAUUGAUGUUCACAUACUUCAAUUUCUGUUGCCAUACCAGUGUCACUAACAGAUAAUCUAGAUGAAUUUGUUUUUAUUUAUUUCUACCACUGUUGUCUAUGAACAUUUUCAUAUCAUAUAGUUAGUACACUUCAUUAUAUACAGGGCAGCAAUGUCUUAUUUCUGAUAACAACUCAGCAAUAAGCCUCUUGACAUUUCUGCUUUGAAUUGUCUAUAUAUUUUUCAUUUCUUUCUAAGUUUGAAAUCUAAUCACUGUUAAAAAAACAGCCUCUACUUAUGGCUGCCUAGAAAUGCCUUACAAAUUGAUAAUUAAUUAAAAUAACAAUAACCUAAUGCCCUUAUGGAAACAUAUUCCAAACAUUCCUUAACAGCUAUGAAAUUAUUUUUGGACAAACCUUUUUGCAGUUUACAGCCUUAAACAAAUCAAGAUUUUCCCCCAACCAAAUGCACUGCUUAACCUAUAAAUAAAUGAUUUUUAGCUCGACUAUUCGAAGAAUAGGUGGGCUAUACUACUCGUCCCAGCGUCGGCGUCCGGUUAAAGUUAUUAAGUUGUUCAGGGCCAUCACAUGAUGAGGUUAGUUAACUCCAUAUUAUUCUUUAAACAGAUUAUGGCCCCUGAUUGACUAUGGAACUUAGGUAAAAGUUUUAGGGCAAGUUGGAAUAUUUAUUAAUAACUUCUAUAUCCUUUGUUCAAUUGACUUAAUACUUCACACAGUUGUUCAGGACCAUCACACAAUGAGGUUACAUAACUCCAUAUUAUCCUAAAUACAAGUUAUGGCCCCUGAUUGACUUAGGUAAAAGUUUUAGGGCAAGUUAAAGUUUUAGGGCAAGUUGGGAUUUUCACUGAAAACUCCAAUACCAUUCAUUCAAUUGACUUAAUACUUCACACAGUUGUUCAGAGCCAUCACAUAAUGAGGUUAGAUAACUCCAUAUUAUUCUUUACACAGAUUAUGGCCCCUGAUUGACUAUGGAACUUAGGUUAAAGUUUUAGGGCAGGUUGGGAUAUUGUUUAAUAACUUCUAUACCCUUCAUUCAAUUGACUUAAUACUUCACAAAAUUGUUCAGGACCAUCACACAAUGAGGUUUCAUAACUCCAUAUCCUUAAUACAAGUUAUGGGCCCCUGAUUGGCUUAGGUUAAAGUUUUAGGCAAGUAAAAGUUAAGGGCAAGUUGGGAUUUUAAUAAAAAAAACUUCUAUACCGUUCAUUAAAUGCACUUAAUAAAAUUCAAAAUUAUUUACGUCCAUCUUACAACAAGAAACAUAACUCCAUUUUAAGCCUUAAUACAAAUUAUGUCCCUUGAUUUCCUUUUUAACCACAUUUUCAAAAUUGGAAAUCAAGUUAUUUAAAUGACUUGCGUCAUUGUUUGGGCGGGCUGGUGGGAGGGCAGCAUAAAAGUCACCUUAUGUAUCGAAUAAUUUGAGUAAGGUUUGACAUAAAGAGACCAAACUUGAUAUUAUUACAUCGUUAUUGUAUUCUAAGUCAAAGCGGCGUAGUCGAGCGCGCUGUCUUACGACAGCUCUUGUUGACAUAUUGUAAUCAUUUUCACUCAUUGCAUAUUUUCUGCUACAAUGUUAUAGCGUUUUCAUGUGUAUCAUUUAGAUUCAUUGUUUUCACAUUAUUACUUCACUCAUGAUUCAGUGCUUAUCUCAUUUUAUGUAAAUUUCUUCUUGUUCAAUUGUAAAUAAUGACAAAUGCUGCUCAAAAGAGUGUGAUAAUGGAUAUACUCUUCCUGUCAUUUAUGUUAUUUGAUAAUUGUCAGCUGCGUCAUCUUCCAUGAAUUGCAUUACUUUCUCUUUGCCUCAGAUUUAAUAGUAUGUGUGGUGGUUUUAUGUUGUUGCUAUUAGAACAGGAGUUAUUUGAAUAAGCCAAAUAUCCUGUACAUUAUCAUUUCGCCAAAGUAGUUCAUCAUAGAUUCAUAUAACACUACAGACUGGUUAAUUGUAAUGGUAAACAAUUUUUCAAUUCUUUUGAAAGAAAUCCAUCCUUUGAUAUAGCCUUCAUAUUACACCAUUGUUUCCUAGAGCUUUACCUUGCAUUUUUGUCAUUCAGGCAUGGUUGAAAUACAUUUCAAGGACUAGACACCAGAUGAUACCAUUGCAAGAUGAAAAAUAACUGUCCAAAACUUUAAUGUAAUUCAUAUCUUAGUGUACAUUUUAAUUGAGUUUUUGGACCGAGUAAAUUCCAUUUCUUUAAAAAAAAGCUUCUGAGUGUGUCUUGUAAAACUCACAGGACCCCUACAUGCUAUUCUUUAGUGUAUAUACAUAGCUGAGACAGGGAUAGAAAUAUUAUUUUUUCAUUUAAAAUAUUGCAUUUUUUUACCUCAUACUAGCCCUUAUUCAUAAGUUCAGUCUGUUUUAAGGAAAAAUUGAACUUGCUGAUUUUGGUACUUUUGGUUCACCCCCAAUUGAUCUAAUAAACCCUGGUAUAAUAUUGAUAAUUAUGGAGAAAUAAAGACAUACUUUAUAAGUAAUAUUAAUUGGACUCAACUUCAGACCUAUUCAAAUUAUGAAAUAAAAUACUGCAUAAUAACUUUUAUUAAAUCAUAGACCAACUAUAAAAACGCACAAAAGAGAAUGUUUCCUUUUCAUAUACCUUGUUCUUUUUUUCUGAAAUUGAACUGCUGGUGUUAAGGCAUUGGUCUAAAACAGGUGUUGUUGACUGUUGAUAUGUAAAUUUAACCAGCUUCUAUAACAAUAUCAUAUGCAUACACCACUGUCAGCAUUUUAACUGCUACAGCUUAUGAAGAACCUCCAAUAGCUAUACUCUUAUAUUAGCUGCCAUUUAUAAAUCAUAUUCAACAUUUUAUUGUUUUAAUCUAUUUUGGAUUACAUUUUUCCUUUGAAAUUCAUUAAAACAUUUACAACCUA
Molecule: long non-coding RNA, 4956 nt
Organism: Mya arenaria
Lineage: Eukaryota; Metazoa; Mollusca; Bivalvia; Myida; Myidae
Exons: 5
Source: RefSeq, a predicted model, not a curated record